CAGCCGCCGCGGGAAUACGUAGGGUGCGAGCGUUAAUCGGAAUUACUGGGCGUAAAGCGUGCGCAGGCGGUUGUGUAAGACAGGUGUGAAAUCCCCGGGCUUAACCUGGGAACUGCGCUUGUGACUGCACAGCUAGAGUAUGGCAGAGGGGGGUGGAAUUCCACGUGUAGCAGUGAAAUGCGUAGAGAUGUGGAGGAACACCGAUGGCGAAGGCAGCCCCCUGGGCCAAUACUGACGCUCAUGCACGAAAGCGUGGGGAGCAAACAGGAUUAGAGACCCGCGUAGUCCCUGUCUCUUAUAA
RNAcentral lists this ribosomal RNA (301 nucleotides) under uncultured bacterium. RNAcentral's name for it is "partial 16S ribosomal RNA". It matches the Rfam family "Bacterial small subunit ribosomal RNA", at positions 509 to 809 of the family's 1533-position model. The record is from RNAcentral.